AGCUUUGCGCAGUAGCAGUAUCAUAGCCAAUGAGGUUUAUUCAAGGCGCGAUUAUUGCAAUUGAAAACUUUUCCCAAUACCCACCAUGAUGACUUAAAAUAUAGUCAGCAUUGGCAAUUUUUCACAAUCUCUACAGAGA
This is a small nuclear RNA of Suncus etruscus (white-toothed pygmy shrew), 139 nucleotides long. RefSeq annotates it as U4 spliceosomal RNA. The transcript has a single exon. NCBI's taxonomy places the organism in Eukaryota, Metazoa, Chordata, Mammalia, Eulipotyphla, Soricidae. The record is from RefSeq and is a predicted model, not a curated record.